UGGCACAAUAAUUCUAGGAAUAGCUCACUGCGCUUACACCCUUACGCAAGGUAGCAAUUUGAAGUCUCAAGCAGAUCGCCAAAUAUGACCUCGCAGGCUAAGGAUUAUUUCGGUUGUCCCAGUAGUCCAGUUUUCCUCAGUUGCACUCACGACAACUACUUUCAUGCUCUCUAGUGCAAGAGGGUAAACUAAAUCCCCGACACCCAUAUGGGUCUGCUCUCCAGUGCGAGAGGAUAAACUAAUUGCUCUCCAAUGCGAGAGGGUAAACCAAUUUCCUAACACCCGUCUGGGGUUUGCUUUCCAGUGCAAGAGGAUAAACUAAUUGCUCUCCAGUGUGAGAGGAUAAACCAAUUCCACACCCAAAAGGGUCUACUCUCCAGUGCGAAAGGAUAAACUAAUUGUUCUCCAAUACGAGAGGGUAAACCAAUUCCCAACACCCAAAAGGGUCUGCUCUCCAGUGCGAAAGGAUAAACUAAUUGCUCUCCAGUACGAGAGGGUAAACCAAUUCCCCACCCAAAAGGGUCUGCUUUCCAGUGCGAGGGGAUAAACUAAUUGUUCUCCAGUACGAGAAGGUAUACCAAUUCCCCGACACCCAAAAGGGUCUGCUCUCCAGUGUGAGAGGAUAAACUAAUUGCUCUCCAGUGCGAGAGGAUAAACUAAUUGCUCUAUAGUGCGAGAGGGUAAACCAAUUCCCCGACACCCAAAAGGGUUUGCCAUCUAGUACGAGAGGAUAAACUAAUUGCUCUCCAGUGCGAAAGGGUAAGCCAAUUCCCCGACACCCAUAUGAGUUUACUCUCCAGUGAAAGAGGAUAAACUAAUUGUCCUCCAGUGCGAGAGGGUAAGCCAAUUCCCCGACACCCAUAUGGGUUUGCUCUUCAGUGCGAGAGGAUAAACUAAUUACUCCAGUGCGAGAAGAUAAACUAAUUACUCUCCAGCAUAAGAGGGUAAAACUAAUUACUUUCCAGUGCAAGAGGGUAAACUAAAUCCCUGACACCCAUCUGGGUAAGCUCUCCAGUGCAAAAAUGCCACAUAGUUCAAAAGAUCGAAUGAUUGAAGAUCAACUAAGCAACAAAUGGUUAUGGGGCAUCAACCACUUUUACACUUAACAGUUCGCUCAUCCGACACUUCAUCUUCAGCAAUUCUGAUCUUGGCAGCUUCAUCCUUGACUGCUCCAUCUAUGGUAGUUGAAAAAUCAAACUCAAGUAGUUUCCUCAUUUUCAGCAGACAGCCCAAACGUGGCAACCCAAACAAUUGCCUAUUCCAUGCCACUUCCUCGGCCCAUGCCGAACCAAUCCUUUGCUUUAAUCAAGCUGAGCUGCUUAAGUAAUGGCCCCUGCCACAUCACCUCCUUGGCCUAUGCCAAGCCGACUCCUGGCCCCUGCCAACCGACGUGCCGUACCACCCCUACGAUUGCCUCGUGGCAGCACCACCUAAGAAGAAGACAAGAAGAAAUUAAGUUUUUAUUACAUUGGUGCGGCAUGGAAAAGACGAAGAAAACAACAAAAAACAGUCCUUUGCAUGGGCAAGAUGUAGAAGAUUGCUAGAAGAUGGGGAACAAAUAUCCUCUAAGCUCUCUCUUGUAGGAUAGAAUAAAUCACUCUCCAAAGUUGAUUUAAUAACCCACAUAAGGUGGACUUAAAUAGGCUUUGAGAGAAAUUUAUUUCCUUUUCCUAGAAGGAUCUAAUUUCAUAUUAAAGAGGGAAUCUACUCAAAACAGGAAGUAGUCCUAAGUUUCCUAAAGCAAGAAGAUCUUUACACCGUUGCCCUUUCCUACGAGUAGCCCAGCAAGUGUGGGGGCAUUUGUGGAGCCAAAAAUAAUCACAAGGCGACAUGUGGAUUUUUGGUAAAAAGGACAAAGUUAACCCUGAUUGACACACCCUGUCCCGAAGGAGGACAUGCUGGCCGUCACGUGAGAUGACGUAACCAUUUACACAGUUCGGAAGCUUUAAAAAAAACAAUUACUAAGAUGAAACACCCGAGGGUGAGUCCUACUUUUAUGAAUUCUGUCAGAACACCGUUGGAUUCCUCGUGGCCACCAAAGCUCUGCUAUCUGGAACCUGGAGGGGCGCAAAACAAAAUUGAGUGGGUCAGUAAAACAAAGUUUUUUGAAAACAUUUCAUUUAAAAUAUUUCUAACCCCUCACUGUAAAACCUGUAUACUUUCCCAGAAAAUAACAUAAUAGUAUAUAAAACCUCAUACGUCACAAAUCACCAAUCUAUCACAAAUCCAGGAAUAUGCCAUGCCAUAAAUGUCAAUAACAAAACGUGGAUGCAUCAAAAUAACAGGUGACAUAAUGAAUCAACCGGAGACCCUGCAGUUGGUCCUGUACGGUUGAUUCCAUAGCUCAACAUCCAACCCAGCCGGAGUCACCACGGUGACCUGUACGGCACUACUCUGCACAUAAGUCGGAACUACCUGAAAUAGUCUGUACGACAAGAAUGGUGUAAUGAUACGCUCUAGUGCUUCUCUCAUCAAUCAUCUGCACGCGUAAUCUAAGGUCACCUACUAGUCGGAACCACCUCUAGUGGUCUGUACGACUAGCAUGUCGGAACCCUCUCAUGGUCUGUACAACAUGCACCUACUUGGAUCCAAGGUGAGCGUGCGGUGCGGUGAAUAAUAUAAGCACUAACACCAGGGGUGCAGGUUAUGAGCUCUCAACACAAUUCACAUCAUCAAUGAUUCACAUGAGUAACAUAAAACUCA
Molecule: long non-coding RNA, 2703 nt
Filed under: Malus domestica (apple)
Lineage: Eukaryota; Viridiplantae; Streptophyta; Magnoliopsida; Rosales; Rosaceae
Description: long non-coding RNA (MDOM_LNC019787)
Source: RNAcentral